The sequence is a transfer RNA, 76 nucleotides long. It matches the Rfam family "tRNA". Rfam says of the family: Transfer RNA (tRNA) molecules are approximately 80 nucleotides in length. Their secondary structure includes four short double-helical elements and three loops (D, anti-codon, and T loops). Further hydrogen bonds mediate the characteristic L-shaped molecular structure. tRNAs have two regions of fundamental functional importance: the anti-codon, which is responsible for specific mRNA codon recognition, and the 3' end, to which the tRNAs corresponding amino acid is attached (by aminoacyl-tRNA synthetases). tRNAs cope with the degeneracy of the genetic code in two manners: having more than one tRNA (with a specific anti-codon) for a particular amino acid; and 'wobble' base-pairing, i.e. permitting non-standard base-pairing at the 3rd anti-codon position.
GGGGGCAUAGCUCAGUUGGUAGAGCAUCUGCAUGGCAUGCAGAGGGUCAGGAGUUCGAGUCUCCUUGCCUCCACCA